GACGAACGCUGGCGGCGUGCCUAAUACAUGCAAGUCGAACGCGGAGGGAGGUGCUUGCUUCUCCGGAUGAGUUGAAAGCGGGUGAAUAAGCCGUAGGGAACGUAACUGGUAGCGGGGACUAACUAUUGGAACCGGUAGGUAAUGGCGCAUAAGAGUGAAUGUUGCCUGACAUUGGCUUACAAUGUGCAAUUUCAUCACUAAGGGAAGGACCUGCGUUGUAGUAGCUAGUUGGUGGGGUAACGGCUUACAAAUGCGACGAUCCAUAGCCUACCUGAGAGGGUGUUCGGCCACAGUGGGACUGAGACACGGCCCAGACUCCUACGGGGGGCAGCAGUAGAGAAUCUUCGGCAACGGACGGAAGUCUGACCGAGCAACGCGGCGUGGGUGAAGAAAGUUUUCGGAUCGUGAAGCUCUGUUGUAAGGGAAGAACGAGUGUGAGAGUGGAAGAAGCACACUGUGCCGGUAUCUGAGCAGAAACAGAGGCCUAACUACUU
Molecule: ribosomal RNA, 494 nt
Filed under: uncultured bacterium
Lineage: Bacteria
Description: partial 16S ribosomal RNA
Rfam family: Bacterial small subunit ribosomal RNA
Source: RNAcentral